CUUUACAACGGACAUAGAACAGAUGUUCUAUUGUUUUUCAGUAAGGGAAGACGAUAGGAACUUCCUACGUUUUCUAUGGUUCCAAGAUAACGACCCCUCCAAAGACAUUGUGGAGUAUCGGAUGACGGUCCACGUCUUUGGAAAUAGUCCUUCACCCGCAUUAGCGAUUCAUGGACUGCAUCAGUCUGUUCAGGUCAGUGAGCUUCGCAUUGAUCCUGACGUCCAAAGUUUUGUGAUGCGUGACUUCUAUGUAGACGAUGGGUUGAAGUCCUUGCCCACAGUCGAAGCUGCAGUCAACCUGCUGAAAAAGACACAAGAUGUUCUCUCCAAAUCAAACCUAAGGCUGCACAAGAUCGCAGCAAACAACAAGGAGGUCAUGGAGGCCUUUCCGGCCGAAGAUCGUGCAAAAGACCUUAAAGACCUGGACCUCAGUGCAGAUACGCUGCCAAUGCAGCGUAGUCUUGGAAUCAAUUGGGACCUCCAGACCGACUGCUUCCACUUCAGCGUCUCCGACGAGAUAAAAUCCUACACUCGACGAGGUGUCUUGUCUACAAUCAACAGCCUCUACGAUCCUCUAGGGUUUGUAGCGCCAGUCACAAUACAAGGCAAGGCUAUUCUGAGAGAACUCACAACUGAAAAAGGUGACUGGGACUCGCCUUUGCCCCAAGAAAUGGAAGACGCAUGGACAUCUUGGAGAGCAUCUUUGAAAGAACUGUCCCAGCUUUCUAUUCCCAGAGCCUACACUACAACUUCACCCCCAGCAGCUGUCAGAAGGGAAUUGUGCGUCUUUUCUGACGCAUCCACGAAAGCUAUCGCCGCUGUGGCAUAGCUAAAAGUAACUGACUCUGCUGGAAAUAACCAUGUGGGAUUUGUAAUGGGCAAAGCCAAGCUGACCCCCCGUCCUGAACAAACAAUUCCGAGACUGGAACUUUGCGCAGCAGUGCUUGGAGUGGAGUUAGCAGACUUAAUCUCGGCAGAACUAGACCUUCAGCUCGAUGCUACAACCUUCCACUCAGACAGCAAGGUAGUCCUUGGCUACAUUUCUAAUGAAAGCAGGCGCUUUUAUGUAUAUGUAAGUAACCGGGUAUUACGUAUCCGAAGGUCCUCUCACCCAC
Molecule: long non-coding RNA, 1115 nt
Filed under: Cyclopterus lumpus (lumpfish)
Lineage: Eukaryota; Metazoa; Chordata; Actinopteri; Perciformes; Cyclopteridae
Description: lncRNA (ENSCLMG00005023086.1)
Source: RNAcentral